This 497-nucleotide ribosomal RNA is filed under the name uncultured bacterium. Its description in RNAcentral is "partial 16S ribosomal RNA". It matches the Rfam family "Bacterial small subunit ribosomal RNA", at positions 28 to 507 of the family's 1533-position model. The record is from RNAcentral.
GAUGAACGCUGGCGGCGUGCCUAAUACAUGCAAGUCGAGCGAACAGACGAGGAGCUUGCUCCUCUGACGUUAGCGGCGGACGGGUGAGUAACACGUGGAUAACCUACCUAUAAGACUGGGAUAACUUCGGGAAACCGGAGCUAAUACCGGAUAACAUAUUGAACCGCAUGGUUCAACAGUGAAAGACGGUUUUGCUGUCACUUAUAGAUGGAUCCGCGCCGCAUUAGCUAGUUGGUGAGGUAACGGCUUACCAAGGCAACGAUGCGUAGCCGACCUGAGAGGGUGAUCGGCCACACUGGAACUGAGACACGGUCCAGACUCCUACGGGAGGCAGCAGUAGGGAAUCUUCCGCAAUGGGCGAAAGCCUGACGGAGCAACGCCGCGUGAGUGAUGAAGGUCUUCGGAUCGUAAAACUCUGUUAUUAGGGAAGAACAAAUGUGUAAGUAACUGUGCGCGUCUUGACGGUACCUAAUCAGAAAGCCACGGCUAACUACGUG